UAAAAAUGAAAAUUAAAUAUCUUUCACCACGCCGAUCGCUAGCGAGAAGGAUUUAAUUUUUGAGUCCGCAAAGCACAAUAGUGGUUGAUCGCCAUUCAGAAAUGGUUCACGAACUAUAUUGUGCAGAGUGAAUGGUACGAGAAGAGGAAGGGUUGCAGGGGUCAAGCGAUUUAGGUAAAUAAGAUAAAUAAAUAAGGAGUAAGAUCGUAAUUUCACAUGAUUUAAUUGGCUCACGAAAACUCAUGUUGCAGCAUUAUAUAUAUAAUAGAUAAUAGAUAGAUUAGCAAGAGAAUAAUCAGUGAAGUAACAAUGUGCCUAUAUAAAAUACUGGAAUACAUAUCUAGUAUCUACCAUGGAAGAAUUAAGGGGAAGAACGAACUAUUAAUCAUCCACGACGUUUUGUGCUCAAAAGAUAUAUUUUAUUUGUGAAUUCACAAAAUAAAUGACUAAGUGGUUGUUAAAUGAAAUACAUUAAAUGUGUACAAGGCCAAACUGGUAUUCUUGAAUAUGCAAUUGGUCUUCCAAAAAUGUAUUGCAUAACAAUCUUAUACUCAACAUAACUUAAUUAUCAAUCAUGUUAUAGUUGACCAAAGUUAUAAGAUGAUCUACUGUUAGCUGGCUUUGAAUAUUGUUACAGGAUAUUGCCACAAUAUCGCAGAAAUAUUCCCGAAGGUCAUAUAGGUAGACAUUCAAACCUUUCUUUUGGUACCAAUCUCUGUAGUUACUGGCAGGUAUCCAUGUGAAAUUACUCUGAACUCGUGGACAUUUUUUAAAAGCACUCCCCACAUCACUUACUAAUGUAGAAUGUUCUAUAUUCUUAUCUGUAAUGGGAAGAGCGUAAGAACAAAUAGCCGAAAAUAAGAUGAGUAUCUAUAGUAUUUUUAGAGAAGCAUUCGCGCCAUUGGCACUCACUUGCAUAAACUUCGAAAGAAAAUUCUGCAAAUAAAUGGAAUAGGAUGGACAUACUGAUCGAAAAACAAAGCUCCACACACUCUCUCUCCAUCUCUCUCUCACACAGACUCUCACGCCUCUCUCUCUCCCCCUUCAAGCUUUAACCCCACGAUAGACUUGGAUGAGAUGCCUGAAUCACAAACUCGCCGGACCUACCACCGCCGAACCCAAUGGAGACAUUAUUCCGUUUCGAAGACGACAACGUCGUUGCAGACUUCAACGGAGGGGUCGAGUCACAGAUCGUGUAUGACUCGAGGACUCGCAAGCAUAACAAUUCAAUGGGUGGGUCUUCCUUUUUUCAUUAUCAUAUACUUUGUGUUUGUGUAUAUGUUUGACUGACUUCGUUUUUCAUUUUUCAAAAUAGUCUUCUUAGGGUUUCUAUCCUUGAGUUAGGAUUUUUCACCAAUUACGAAAGGUAUUCUUUCUCUAAUCUUUCUAUUCUCCACUUUUGAUCAGUUACUUUUUGUAUAUAUAUGUAUGAUUAUUCUGGCUGUUGAUUUUCAAUUAAAUAAUCUAGGGUUCUUGUUUGUUAAAGAUUGAAUCUUUUUGCAUAUCUGAAUCACGGGCUUUGAUUUUUGUGCUAUGAUCUUGUAUAUUAAUGUGAAAAUAUGCUUCAACUUUGCAAGCUAUGUUAUAUGUUUACUGCAUAGUAUGAUUCAGGACUGGGGCCUUGGAUUUAGUAGUUACUAAUUUCAUUGAAAUAUUUUGUGGGUUUAUAAUCCAGAAGACAGAAAAAUCUGGCUUAUAAUCACUCUGUUUUAUCAUGUAGGAUUCUUGCUAAUAGGCAAUCUGGAGCGCCAUUAAAGGAGCGAAAAACUUGUUAUACAAUUGAGCUGAAGAGGAAGGUACACACUCUCGAACUGAAGCAGUCUUAUGGUGGUUUGGCCUUAUUAUUUGGUGUUGGUUUGUUAUACAUUUUAGUGGGCCAGUAGCAGUCGAAAGUGUUACAAAAUGGAGGAGCCGGAUGUGGUCCGUAUAGAGACG
RNAcentral lists this long non-coding RNA (1935 nucleotides) under Daucus carota (carrot). Its description in RNAcentral is "long non-coding RNA (DCAR_LNC006804)". Lineage: Eukaryota; Viridiplantae; Streptophyta; Magnoliopsida; Apiales; Apiaceae. The record is from RNAcentral.